GCGGGAAUAGCUCAGCUGGUAGAGCGCAACCUUGCCAAGGUUGAGGUCGCGAGUUCGAAUCUCGUUUCCCGCUCCA
RNAcentral lists this transfer RNA (76 nucleotides) under Thiobacillus sp. Its description in RNAcentral is "tRNA-Gly". It matches the Rfam family "tRNA". Rfam says of the family: Transfer RNA (tRNA) molecules are approximately 80 nucleotides in length. Their secondary structure includes four short double-helical elements and three loops (D, anti-codon, and T loops). Further hydrogen bonds mediate the characteristic L-shaped molecular structure. tRNAs have two regions of fundamental functional importance: the anti-codon, which is responsible for specific mRNA codon recognition, and the 3' end, to which the tRNAs corresponding amino acid is attached (by aminoacyl-tRNA synthetases). tRNAs cope with the degeneracy of the genetic code in two manners: having more than one tRNA (with a specific anti-codon) for a particular amino acid; and 'wobble' base-pairing, i.e. permitting non-standard base-pairing at the 3rd anti-codon position. Lineage: Bacteria; Pseudomonadati; Pseudomonadota; Betaproteobacteria; Nitrosomonadales; Thiobacillaceae. RNAcentral also lists the same sequence under 24 other names. The record is from RNAcentral.